AGUGAACGCUGGCGGCAGGCCUAACACAUGCAAGUCGAGCGGCAGCGGGUCCUUCGGGAUGCCGGCGAGCGGCGGACGGGUGAGGAAUACAUCGGAAUCUGCCCUGUCGUGGGGGAUAACCUAGGGAAACUUAGGCUAAUACCGCAUACGACCUACGGGUGAAAGCGGGGGAUCGCAAGACCUCGCGCGACAGGAUGAGCCGAUGUCCGAUUAGCUAGUUGGCGGGGUAAAGGCCCACCAAGGCGACGAUCGGUAGCUGGUCUGAGAGGAUGAUCAGCCACACUGGGACUGAGACACGGCCCAGACUCCUACGGGAGGCAGCAGUGGGGAAUAUUGGACAAUGGGCGCAAGCCUGAUCCAGCCAUGCCGCGUGGGUGAAGAAGGCCUUCGGGUUGUAAAGCCCUUUUGUCCGGGAAGAAAUCGACUGGGCUAAUACCCCGGGCGGAUGACGGUACCGGAAGAAUAAGCACCGGCUAACUUCGUG
RNAcentral lists this ribosomal RNA (484 nucleotides) under uncultured bacterium. RNAcentral describes it as "partial 16S ribosomal RNA". It matches the Rfam family "Bacterial small subunit ribosomal RNA", at positions 30 to 507 of the family's 1533-position model. The record is from RNAcentral.